UACGUAGGGGGCAAGCGUUAUCCGGAAUUACUGGGUGUAAAGGGAGCGUAGACGGUAAUGUAAGUCUGGAGUGAAAGGCGGGGGCCCAACCCCCGGACUGCUCUGGAAACUGCCAUGCUAGAGUGCUGGAGAGGUAAGUGGAAUUCCUAGUGUAGCGGUGAAAUGCGUAGAUAUUAGGAGGAACACCAGUGGCGAAGGCGGCUUACUGGACAGUAACUGACGUUGAGGCUCGAAAGCGUGGGGAGCAAACAGG
This 253-nucleotide ribosomal RNA is filed under the name uncultured Eubacteriales bacterium. RNAcentral's name for it is "uncultured Clostridiales bacterium partial 16S ribosomal RNA". It matches the Rfam family "Bacterial small subunit ribosomal RNA", at positions 524 to 776 of the family's 1533-position model. Lineage: Bacteria; Bacillati; Bacillota; Clostridia; Eubacteriales. The record is from RNAcentral.